Molecule: ribosomal RNA, 253 nt
Filed under: uncultured bacterium
Lineage: Bacteria
Description: partial 16S ribosomal RNA
Rfam family: Bacterial small subunit ribosomal RNA
Source: RNAcentral
UACGUAGGGUGCAAGCGUUAUCCGGAAUUAUUGGGCGUAAAGGGCGCGUAGGCGGCGUGUUAAGUCAGCUGUGAAAUCUCCGAGCUUAACUCGGAACGGUCAGCUGAUACUGAUGUGCUAGAGUGCAGAAGGGGCAAUCGGAAUUCUUGGUGUAGCGGUGAAAUGCGUAGAUAUCAAGAGGAACACCUGAGGUGAAGACGGGUUGCUGGGCUGACACUGACGCUGAUGCGCGAAAGCCAGGGGAGCAAACGGG